Molecule: ribosomal RNA, 429 nt
Filed under: Pseudomonadota bacterium
Lineage: Bacteria; Pseudomonadati; Pseudomonadota
Description: Proteobacteria bacterium partial 16S ribosomal RNA
Rfam family: Bacterial small subunit ribosomal RNA
Source: RNAcentral
UGGGGAAUAUUGGACAAUGGGCGAAAGCCUGAUCCAGCCAUGCCGCGUGUGUGAAGAAGGCCUUAUGGUUGUAAAGCACUUUAAGUUGGGAGGAAGAGCAGUAAGCGAAUACCUUGCUGUUUUGACGUUACCGACAGAAUAAGCACCGGCUAACUCUGUGCCAGCAGCCGCGGUAAUACAGAGGGUGCAAGCGUUAAUCGGAAUUACUGGGCGUAAAGCGCGCGUAGGUGGUUCGUUAAGUUGAAUGUGAAAGCCCCGGGCUCAACCUGGGAACUGCAUCCAAAACUGGCGAGCUAGAGUAGGGCAGAGGGUGGUGGAAUUUCCUGUGUAGCGGAGAAAUGCGUAGAUAUAGGAAGGAACACCAGUGGCGAAGGCGACCACCUGGGCUCAUACUGACACUGAGGUGCGAAAGCGUGGGGAGCAAACAGG